This 445-nucleotide ribosomal RNA is filed under the name uncultured organism. RNAcentral describes it as "partial 16S ribosomal RNA". It matches the Rfam family "Bacterial small subunit ribosomal RNA", at positions 335 to 797 of the family's 1533-position model. The record is from RNAcentral.
ACUCCUACGGGAGGCAGCAGUGGGGAAUAUUGGACACUGGGCGCAAGCCUGAUCCAGCCAUGCCGCGUGAGUGAUGAAGGCCCUAGGGUUGUAAAGCUCUUUCACCGGUGAAGAUAAUGACGGUAACCGGAGAAGAAGCCCCGGCUAACUUCGUGCCAGCAGCCGCGGUAAUACGAAGGGGGCUAGCGUUGUUCGGAUUUACUGGGCGUAAAGCGCACGUAGGCGGACUAUUAAGUCAGGGGUGAAAUCCCGGGGCUCAACCCCGGAACUGCCUUUGAUACUGGUAGUCUUGAGUUCGAGAGAGGUGAGUGGAAUUCCGAGUGUAGAGGUGAAAUUCGUAGAUAUUCGGAGGAACACCAGUGGCGAAGGCGGCUCACUGGCUCGAUACUGACGCUGAGGUGCGAAAGCGUGGGGAGCAAACAGGAUUAGAAACCCUUGUAGUCCC